This 307-nucleotide small RNA is filed under the name Castor canadensis (American beaver). RNAcentral describes it as "7SK RNA (ENSCCNG00000014099.1)". It matches the Rfam family "7SK RNA". Rfam says of the family: 7SK was discovered as an abundant small nuclear RNA in the mid-70s but a possible function has only recently been suggested. Two independent studies have found that 7SK RNA binds the CDK9/cyclin T complex (known as elongation factor P-TEFb). P-TEFb activates transcription by phosphorylating the C-terminal domain of RNA polymerase II. The record is from Rfam by way of RNAcentral. Lineage: Eukaryota; Metazoa; Chordata; Mammalia; Rodentia; Castoridae.
GAAUGUAAGAGCGAUCUGGCUGCAACAUCUGUCACCUCACUGAUCACUAGAGUUGAUUUGGCUGAUCUGGCAGGCUAGGUGGUGUCCCCCAUUCCUCACUGCUCCAUGUGCAUCCCUCCUAAAGCUUCUGGAUCAAUUGAAGAGGAUGACCUUCCCUGAUAGAUGACCUUUCUUUGGUCAAGGGUAUAUGAGUAUCUGUGCUCCCCUGCUAGAAAUUCAAAACAAGCCCAUAGUUGGGGCAUUUAACGUGCCAUUGGGGCUGCCCGGAUUUUUGCGUCCUCAGUACCACAUUUGGGAAAUAUCCUGG